RNAcentral lists this transfer RNA (73 nucleotides) under Camelus bactrianus (Bactrian camel). It matches the Rfam family "tRNA". From Rfam's summary of the family: Transfer RNA (tRNA) molecules are approximately 80 nucleotides in length. Their secondary structure includes four short double-helical elements and three loops (D, anti-codon, and T loops). RNAcentral also lists the same sequence under 2 other names. Lineage: Eukaryota; Metazoa; Chordata; Mammalia; Artiodactyla; Camelidae. The record is from Rfam by way of RNAcentral.
GGGGUUGUAAGCUCAGUGGUAGAGCAUGUGCUUGGCAUGCACGAGGUCCUGGGUUCAACCUCCAGUGCCUCUG